RNAcentral lists this ribosomal RNA (244 nucleotides) under uncultured bacterium. RNAcentral describes it as "partial 16S ribosomal RNA". It matches the Rfam family "Bacterial small subunit ribosomal RNA", at positions 796 to 1041 of the family's 1533-position model. The record is from RNAcentral.
CACGCUGUAAACGGUGAAUGCUAGGUGUGGGGGGCAUUGGCCCUCCGUGCCGUCGUUAACACAUUAAGCAUUCCGCCUGGGGAGUACGGCCGCAAGGUUGAAACUCAAAGGAAUUGACGGGGGCCCGCACAAGCGGUGGAGCAUGUGGCUUAAUUCGACGCAACGCGAAGAACCUUACCUGGGCUCGAAAUGCAGGGAAAACCUCCUGAAAGGGGGGCUGCCGCAAGGCGUCCUGUAUAGGUGC